UACGGAGGGGGCUAGCGUUGUUCGGAAUUACUGGGCGUAAAGCGCACGUAGGCGGCUUUGUAAGUUAGAGGUGAAAGCCCGGAGCUCAACUCCGGAAUUGCCUUUAAGACUGCAUCGCUUGAACAUCGGAGAGGUGAGUGGAAUUCCGAGUGUAGAGGUGAAAUUCGUAGAUAUCGGAAGAACACCAGUGGCGAAAGACGACUCACUGGCCCGGUACUGACGCUGAGGGUGCGAAAGCUGGGGGAGCAAA
RNAcentral lists this ribosomal RNA (250 nucleotides) under uncultured bacterium. RNAcentral's name for it is "partial 16S ribosomal RNA". It matches the Rfam family "Bacterial small subunit ribosomal RNA", at positions 524 to 772 of the family's 1533-position model. The record is from RNAcentral.